GCGGGGAUAGCUCAGUUGGGAGAGCGUCAGACUGAAGUUACACUUCAUUCUUGAAAUCUGAAGGUCGUGUGUUCGAUCCGCACUCACCGCA
Molecule: transfer RNA, 91 nt
Rfam family: tRNA
About the family: Transfer RNA (tRNA) molecules are approximately 80 nucleotides in length.
Source: Rfam